GAUGAACGCUGGCGGCGUGCCUAAUACAUGCAAGUCGAGCGAACAGACGAGGAGCUUGCUCCUCUGACGUUAGCGGCGGACGGGUGAGUAACACGUGGAUAACCUACCUAUAAGACUGGGAUAACUUCGGGAAACCGGAGCUAAUACCGGAUAAUAUAUUGAACCGCAUGGUUCAAUAGUGAAAGACGGUUUUGCUGUCACUUAUAGAUGGAUCCGCGCCGCAUUAGCUAGUUGGUAAGGUAACGGCUUACCGAGGCAACGAUGCGUAGCCGACCUGAGAGGGGGAGCGGCCACACGGGAACGGAAACCCGGCCCAGACUCCAAGGGGGGGCGCCAGAAGGGAUUCUUCCGCAAUGGGCAAAGGCCUGACGGGGCAACGCGGGGGGAGAAAUGAAGGUCUUCGUAUCGAAAAACUUUUUUAUGGGGAAAAAAAAAAUUGGAAAGUAACUAUGCACGUCUGGACGUUACCUAAUCAAAAAGCCAGGGCAAACUACGUG
Molecule: ribosomal RNA, 497 nt
Filed under: uncultured bacterium
Lineage: Bacteria
Description: partial 16S ribosomal RNA
Rfam family: Bacterial small subunit ribosomal RNA
Source: RNAcentral